ACAACUUGGAUGUUGCAUUCCUUAGCUCAAAUUUUAACUGUAAAAGGUUUGACGAAUAUCUCUGUUUGCAAACGAUUUGAAGUUAUUAAUUAAGAAAACCUAACCAAUAGAACGAACUUCAUGAAAACCUUUAUGACGAAGCAAGGGUGGCAUUUCUCAACUAUGCUAAAAUGACCUUUCCAUGCAAAUGUUCAUGCAAACACCGUUUUGUUAAGGGUUUCGCAAAGCAUAAGCAAGAAAAAACGAUUAAAACAAGCCGAUGCAUCAAUACUCAAACGGGGCAAUGAACUACCAGAACUCGUUAGCAUCGUCUUCUACAAAUAAUUUGUUAUGCUUGGAAAUAAGCCGGAUCGAUAAAAAAUUAGCGUGAUUGUAAUUCCUUGGGAAAACAUAAACCUUGAUUGAAGGUCCAUUACUUAUCCAACGAUACACGAUCAAACGCCGGUAGUGGUGAAAUACUGCGUGAUAUCAGGUCGUAUUGAGUGAGAACGGCUGUUUGCCGACUUGAUCGUGGUAAGGAUUUCUGUGAGCAGCUCGUAGUUUCGACUGUUUACGGUCGCCUAGCGAGCUGCCGUUAGUGAGAACGAUGAUUCGGCUAAUUUGCGCACUGUAUCAAAACUGGUAUUUUAUUGCAUAAUUUUUUUUUUACGUGCGUAUGCAUCCGCAGUACAGUUUCCAAACGCGCUUAUUAAAGUCAGAAGUGCAGGUCAAAAUUGUCAAUGUCGUAAUUUUAUUCUCAUGGCUCGUUUGCUUAAGCCAAUUCAAAUUCAAAUCUAAGCUUAUAUUAGAAUUAUGGAAAGAUUUACUAAUGAAGUUAUACUCAUACACGCUUUUAAAUAUUCAUUAGGAUCAAAUUAUGUAAUUUCUUUUCAUUAGGAUCAAAUUGUAAUUUCUUUGUUGCCUUUAAGAAAUUAAAGAUCAUUGAAUAAAGCCAAUCCAGUGAGAAAUAAUCAGCCGUUUGUACAUGUCAUGUAAAUAUCAUCUUAAGGAGCAAGACUCUUUGCAAGCGUAUGAGUAAUGUCAACAAUGUGUGCGUAAAAACUUCUUUUCCUGAUUUUAAUCAAUAAAUCUUCCAUAUGGUUGAAAAAUAAACCAAUCGGUUCACUCUGUCUAAAAUUGCAAUUCAAGAAAAGCGAACUGCUUUUGUAACAGAAAAUAUUUAGUUUUGUUUAUUUUAUGUAGCGCAAUCUAAUACACUCAAAUAAAAAUUCACGUUCGAUUCACUUGAAAAAUCACGUAGAAUGGUUUCAAAUGUCAAAUUGAAUAUUUUACGUGACGAAAAUGAAUGUUAUACGAACAUCCCCUAAAAUGAAUAUAGUCAUCACAUAAGGUUUACGUGAAUUGACCAAACGUCAAACAAUCUACGUGAAUUUCCAGUGUGAAAAACUCGAUUUUGAAAAUGGCGAGCAGUGGCCCUCGAAGUUAUGAAAGUUUCCAUGUGUUCAACUGGACCGAGCGCCUGCGUUAGUCCGUAAGAUUACCCGCUCCUGCCGAAUGCUUCAAACAGGCCGUCGGUAUAAAGCUAGAGACACUGGAACCAUGUAAUGCGACUUCAACCUGCAUCGGUAGUGUUGUGGGAGUUCUUGGAUCUCGACUUCGGCUUCGGUUGGAUGGCAGUGACAACAUAAACGAUUUCUGGAGGCUUGUCGAUUUGAGAUACCACGACGAUAUUAGUUGCUUUUUAAGCGAUUGGAAUUAUAUGAAAAUUUUCUGAAAUAAAUGUUUUAUAUUUCA
This is a long non-coding RNA of Malaya genurostris, 1734 nucleotides long. RefSeq lists it as uncharacterized. The transcript has 2 exons. NCBI's taxonomy places the organism in Eukaryota, Metazoa, Arthropoda, Insecta, Diptera, Culicidae. The record is from RefSeq and is a predicted model, not a curated record.